UGGGGAAUAUUGGGCAAUGGGCGAAAGCCUUACCCAGCAACGCCGCGUGAGGGAAGAAGGUUUUCGGAUUGUAAACCUCUGUCCUGGGGGACGAAGGAAGUGACGGUACCCCGGGAGGAAGCCCCGGCUAACUACGUGCCAGCAGCCGCGGUAAUACGUAGGGGGCGAGCGUUGUCCGGAAUUAUUGGGCGUAAAGGGCGCGUAGACGGCCGAGUAAGUUAUAGGUGAAAGCCCAUCUUUCAAGGAUGGAAUUGCCUGUAAUACUGCUUGGCUUGAGUGCAGGAGAGGGAAGCGGAAUUCCUAGUGUAGCGGUGAAAUGCGUAGAUAUUAGGAGGAACACCAGUGGCGAAGGCGGCUUUCUGGACUGUAACUGACGUUGAGGCGCGAAAGCGUGGGGAGCAGACAGGAUUAGAUACC
Molecule: ribosomal RNA, 417 nt
Filed under: uncultured bacterium
Lineage: Bacteria
Description: bacterial SSU rRNA
Rfam family: Bacterial small subunit ribosomal RNA
Source: RNAcentral